AUUGAACGCUGGCGGCAUGCCUUACACAUGCAAGUCGAACGGUAACGGGCCUUCGGGUGCCGACGAGUGGCGAACGGGUGAGUAAUACAUCGGAACGUGCCCGAUCGUGGGGGAUAACGAGGCGAAAGCUUUGCUAAUACCGCAUACGAUCUACGGAUGAAAGCAGGGGACCGCAAGGCCUUGCGCGGACGGAGCGGCCGAUGGCAGAUUAGGUAGUUGGUGGGAUAAAAGCUUACCAAGCCGACGAUCUGUAGCUGGUCUGAGAGGAUGAUCAGCCACACUGGGACUGAGACACGGCCCCGACUCCUACGGGAGGCAGCAGUGGGGAAUUUUGGACAAUGGGCGCAAGCCUGAUCCAGCCAUGCCGCGUGCAGGAUGAAGGCCUUCGGGUUGUAAACUGCUUUUGUACGGAACGAAAAGCCUUCUUUUAAUACAGGAGGGUCAUGACGGUACCGUAAGAAUAAGCACCGGCUAACUACGUG
This 482-nucleotide ribosomal RNA is filed under the name uncultured bacterium. RNAcentral's name for it is "partial 16S ribosomal RNA". It matches the Rfam family "Bacterial small subunit ribosomal RNA", at positions 30 to 507 of the family's 1533-position model. The record is from RNAcentral.